Lycium ferocissimum is the source of this 665-nucleotide RNA transcript. It is a transcript of the gene named small heat shock protein, chloroplastic-like, with no coding region annotated. NCBI's taxonomy places the organism in Eukaryota, Viridiplantae, Streptophyta, Magnoliopsida, Solanales, Solanaceae. The transcript is spliced from 2 exons. The record is from RefSeq and is a predicted model, not a curated record.
AAAAUCAAAACAGUAGUAUAGUACUACUAUAUGUUUUUGACUCGUUUGAUCUCUUGGUGUAAACAGAUGUGUUUGAUCCAUUUUCACCACCAAGGAGCGUGAGCCAGCUACUAAACAUGAUGGACCAAAUGAUGGAUUCUCCAUUCAGUGUUUCCCCUCGUGGUAUUGGCACCGGAGUCCUACCAAGGAGAGGAUGGGACGUGAAGGAGGACGACAACGCUCUGUAUUUAAAAAUGGACAUGCCUGGGCUUGACAAGGAGAACGUGAAGGUAUCAGUUGAGGAGAACAUGUUGGUUAUUAAAGGUGAAGGUGAGAAAGAAUCUGAGGAUGAAGAGUAUAGGAGGAGGUACUCCACUAGGCUGGAAAUUCCUCCGAAUUUGUACAAAUUGGAUGGGAUUAAGGCAGAGAUGAAGAAUGGGGUUCUGAAAGUGGCUGUGCCAAAGGUGAAGGAAGAAGAGAGGAAGGAUGUUUUCAAUGUUCAAGUUGAGUGAGAUUUCAGUGCCUACUUUGGUUUUGGGUGGGAUAUGUUGAACAGUUUCCUUUUUCUUUUGUUCUAGUUAGGAUGGGCUUUAGUGAUCUCUGUGUGAAAAAUAAAAGAUGACCUGCUAAAAAAAAUCGAAAUAUGGUUGUAAUUGUCUCUUUAGAGUAACUCAAGUUGUUGAGUA